UACAGAGGUCCCAAGCGUUGUUCGGAUUCACUGGGCGUAAAGGGUGCGCAGGCGGCCAAGUGUGUUAGGUGUGAAAGCCCGGGGCUUAACCCCGGAAUUGCACCUAAAACUACAUGGCUAGAGCAUUGGAGAGGGGAGCAGAAUUCACGGUGUAGCAGUGAAAUGCGUAGAUAUCGUGAGGAAUACCAGAGGCGAAGGCGGCUCCCUGGACAAUUGCUGACGCUCAGGCACGAAAGCGUGGGGAGCAAAAGGG
Molecule: ribosomal RNA, 253 nt
Filed under: uncultured bacterium
Lineage: Bacteria
Description: partial 16S ribosomal RNA
Rfam family: Bacterial small subunit ribosomal RNA
Source: RNAcentral